This 2248-nucleotide long non-coding RNA is filed under the name Mus musculus (house mouse). RNAcentral describes it as "RIKEN cDNA A730035I17 gene". Lineage: Eukaryota; Metazoa; Chordata; Mammalia; Rodentia; Muridae. The record is from RNAcentral.
AGCUGCGACACCGAGGUGAAGGCGCUGCCGCGCGCGGGGCUCCCGCCCUCCAGCCGUCCGGGCAGAGAGCCUCCGGGACGCGGAGCCAGCAACUUCUCGGGGGCCCCAGGCGACCCCGCCGCGGGGGUGGACGAGCCGUUGCUGCCGCCGCCGGCGACACCGCCUCCCGCGUCGGGGUCCUCGGCCGUGCCCCCUGCGCCGUCUGUCGCCGCCGCCUCCUCCUGCAAGCCCACCGCGCGGCCCGCCUUCUUCACCUCCACGAAGGCGCUGCGCUUCGCCUCGCCAGUCUCCGGGCUGGGCGGCGCGAAGAGCCGGCCGUUCUCCUCCAGGCCGAAGUAGCUGCCGGCGGCGCGGUACUGCUGCGGCGUGCACACCAACUCCUCCUUGGAGGUCGCCAGCGGCCUCUCGGAGAAGCGCGCACGGCCGCCCGCCAGCCCCGCGCCGCCGCCCUCCGCCGCCGCCUCCUCUGGGAACCGCCUCUUGCCUUUGCAGCCGCCGGUGGCGACGCCGUCGGGACUCAGCUCCGCCUCCUGGUGGCCGCUGCCGCCACUGCCGACGCCCGGGGCCGCUACGCAACUGCUGCUUCCCCGGGAGUUUUCCAGUUCCCGAGCCAAGUUGUGGAAGUCCGUGGACGGCUUGGCGCUGCCGGCACCCGCGGAGCCCGGCGGGUUGCUCGCCUCCGGGGAUGACGCGGGGUAGUGGUGUAUGGGGCCGGCUUUGCAGAACUUGGGGCCCGGGAUCAACGGCGCCUCCUGUUGCUGCUGCUGUUGCUGCUGCUGUUGCUCUUUACCACCGCCGCCGCCGCCGUGGUCCUUAGUGCCCAAGCCGCCCCCUUGCUCGUCUUGGGGAUUCGCAUCAGUGCUGUGAAGUCUCUUGGGGCAGCGGAAUCGCAGAUGUGCCACAUAGGGGAACUCAAACUGGAAACGUUGGCUGCAUUCCAGGCAUGUGUAAGGAGACGACCCUGCUUAGUGAGCAAACACACACACACACACACACACACACACACACACACACACACACACACACACCCCACAUGGUUAGUUAGCAUCGCCCCUAGGCCACUUAGCCAUCCUCCCCAUAACAAAUCCACUUUAUCUUUCUGGGCUGAGUGCCCAAAAAAAUGAAUACACUAUCCUAUUUGGUGCAACUUACUUUCUUGAUUUGUGCAUUUACUAAGUCAAACGCUCCCCAACUUUUCCUUCCCCUUCUGUCCUAGUUCCAUUCGGGACAACACCUCAGAAGCUUCGUCCACCCUAUGAUGUGCAAGGUGAGCCCAGGCACCCGAGCCAACCUACCGUUCAUUUUGUGAGCUCUAGACGGGCAGAGCAAGAGCAAUUCAGUCAGUUCUUUCCCGUACCAAACUAGUAACUCUUCAUCUUUGGCAAUCCUGCGGAGAGAGCGGUAGAACAGCUGUCCAUUUUUUAUAUAAGCUUCGAGAUUCUGUUCUUCCUUAUCUCGGGCUGAUUGGACCAGCCGCAGCCACAUGAGACCUUCUGAGGAACCAUUUGCCGCCGAAGUGUCUACCUACAGUAUUUAAGAAAGACAAGAAGAGAGGGAUCCACGUGAAAGACGGCAACCAGAGAAACCAGAGAUAUUUCAUCUGUCUGGCUUUUGUUCUUUCCAAACAAUUAUCUGAAACCAAGUUUGCAAAAGUUGACCAAAGUCGAACUGCAUCCCUGCAUUUGUGGUCAAUGGGCACAGUGGCCAUCCUUUGCAAUAUUGGGUCAGUCUUACAGAGUAGCCUCUUUAGAAUCUCCCUUUCAGUUACCUCACAUGACAAAAGGAGAGGAAAUUUCCCGUGUUUCAGAAGUAAAAGGAAAUUACCCUCAGACACCUCCAUCACACUUGCUGAGACUCACCCGGAAGAUGUAAGGUACUGUUCUCUUGUCCGUGGACUUGAGGGCUACGAAGGCUAUGCUGUCAUACAGGGAAGUAUGGCUCAGUACACAGGGACCGAAUAUGGCGUUCUCUGGGAUGUCGCAGGUUGUAUAUACACUGGUAAAAAUGUCUGUCAGACACUGUUGGACAGCCUUGGCAUCUCCAUCCCAGAUGCCUCUCUGGAUGCCUGAAUCCUCCAUCACUGGAGACAGAUACCCAGGACGAGAAGAGAGUUGUUAUUGCCUUUUCUGCUACGAACCUCGGCAGAGCGUUUCCGCUACCAGACAUAUUUUCUUUGCACUUGCCGGCUUUUUUACAUAGCUCCUACUUUAAAAAUAAAGCCGAUCAAUCUGUCAUGCUUUAAAGAUGC